RNAcentral lists this ribosomal RNA (691 nucleotides) under Bacillus sp. (in: firmicutes). Its description in RNAcentral is "bacterial SSU rRNA". It matches the Rfam family "Bacterial small subunit ribosomal RNA", at positions 616 to 1296 of the family's 1533-position model. Lineage: Bacteria; Bacillati; Bacillota; Bacilli; Caryophanales; Bacillaceae. The record is from RNAcentral.
GGGAGGGUCAUUGGAAACUGGGAAACUUGAGUGCAGAAGAGGAGAGUGGAAUUCCACGUGUAGCGGUGAAAUGCGUAGAGAUGUGGAGGAACACCAGUGGCGAAGGCGACUCUCUGGUCUGUAACUGACGCUGAGGAGCGAAAGCGUGGGGAGCGAACAGGAUUAGAUACCCUGGUAGUCCACGCCGUAAACGAUGAGUGCUAAGUGUUAGGGGGUUUCCGCCCCUUAGUGCUGCAGCUAACGCAUUAAGCACUCCGCCUGGGGAGUACGGUCGCAAGACUGAAACUCAAAGGAAUUGACGGGGGCCCGCACAAGCGGUGGAGCAUGUGGUUUAAUUCGAAGCAACGCGAAGAACCUUACCAGGUCUUGACAUCCUCUGACAACCCUAGAGAUAGGGCUUUCCCUUCGGGGACAGAGUGACAGGUGGUGCAUGGUUGUCGUCAGCUCGUGUCGUGAGAUGUCUGGGUUAAGUCCCGCAACGAGCGCAACCCUUGAUCUUAGUUGCCAGCAUUCAGUUGGGCACUCUAAGGUGACUGCCGGGUUGACAAACCGGAGGAAGGGUGGGGAUGACGUCAAAUCAUCAUGCCCCCUUAUGACCUUGGGGCUACACACGUGCUACAAUGGACAGAAACAAAGGGCUGCAAGACCGCAAGGGUUUAGCCCAAUCCCCAUAAAUCUGUUCUCAGUUCGG